This 426-nucleotide ribosomal RNA is filed under the name uncultured organism. RNAcentral's name for it is "bacterial SSU rRNA". It matches the Rfam family "Bacterial small subunit ribosomal RNA", at positions 346 to 768 of the family's 1533-position model. The record is from RNAcentral.
GCGCACAGGCGCGAAUCUUCGGCAAUGGGGGAAACCCUGACCGAGCGACGCCGCGUGUGGGAUGAAGGCCCUUGGGUUGUAAACCACUGUCAGAGGGGAUGAAAUGCCGGAAAGUUAUCUCUCCGGUUUGACAUAGCCUCAGAGGAAGCACGGGCUAAGUUCGUGCCAGCAGCCGCGGUAAGACGAACUGUGCAAACGUUAUUCGGAAUCACUGGGCCUGAAGAGUGCGUAGGCGGUUUCGUAAGUAGGGUGUGAAAGCCCCCGGCUCAACCGGGGAAUUGCGUCCUAAACUGCGAGGCUGGAGUGAGGUAGGGGUGUGUGGAACUUCCAGUGGAGCGGUGAAAUGUGUUGAUAUUGGAAGGAACGCCGGUGGCGAAAGCGACACACUGGACCUUGUCUGACGCUGAGGCACGAAAGCCAGGGGAG